UAUAAUUUAAAGUAGGGCCUGCCCACUGAAUUUUUAAAGGGCCGCAGUAUUUUGACUGUGCAAAGGUAGCAUAAUCAUUAGUUUUUUAAUUGAAAGCUUGUAUGAAUGGUUUGAUGAGAAAAUAGCUUUUUUUAUUUUAAUUUUUAAGAAUUUUAUUUUUAAGUUAAAAAGCUUAAAUUUUUAUAAUAGACGAGAAGACCCUAUAGAGUUUAAUUAUUAAUUAUUUUUAUAUUUUUAGAAUUUUAAUUUAUAAAUUUGAUUUAAUAAUUUAAUUGGGGUGAUUGAAAAAUUAAAUAAACUUUUUUUUUAUUUUUACAUUGAUGUAUG
RNAcentral lists this ribosomal RNA (327 nucleotides) under Cheilomenes sexmaculata. Its description in RNAcentral is "partial 16S ribosomal RNA". Lineage: Eukaryota; Metazoa; Arthropoda; Insecta; Coleoptera; Coccinellidae. The record is from RNAcentral.